GCAUAUCAAUAAGCGGAGGAAAAGAAACCAACAGGGAUUGCCCUAGUAACGGCGAGUGAAGCGGCAACAGCUCAAAUUUGAAAUCUGGCGCAAGCCCGAGUUGUAAUUUGUAGAGGAUGCUUCUGGGUAGCGGCCGGUCUAAGUUCCUUGGAACAGGACGUCAUAGAGGGUGAGAAUCCCGUAUGUGACUGGCUUGCACCCUCCACGUAGCUCCUUCGACGAGUCGAGUUGUUUGGGAAUGCAGCUCUAAAUGGGAGGUAAAUUUCUUCUAAAGCUAAAUACCGGCCAGAGACCGAUAGCGCACAAGUAGAGUGAUCGAAAGAUGAAAAGCACUUUGGAAAGAGAGUUAAAAAGCACGUGAAAUUGUUGAAAGGGAAGCGCCCGCAACCAGACUUUGCGGCAGUGUUCGGCCGGUCUUCUGACCGGUUUACUCGCUGUCGUGAGGCCAUCAUCGUCUGGGACCGCUGGAUAAGACCUUAGGAAUGUGGCUCCCCUCGGGGAGUGUUAUAGCCUCUGGUGAUGCAGCGCGUCUCGGGCGAGGUCCGCGCUUCGGCAAGGAUGAUGGCGUAAUGGUUGUCGGCGGCCCGUCUUGAAACACGGACCAAGGAGUCUAACAUCUAUGCGAGUGUUCGGGUGUCAAACCCCUACGCGUAAUGAAAGUGAACGGAGGUGGGAACUUUUUGUGCACCAUCGACCGAUCCUGAUGUCCUCGGAUGGAUUUGAGUAAGAGCAUAGCUGUUGGGACCCGAAAGAUGGUGAACUAUGCCUGAAUAGGGUGAAGCCAGAGGAAACUCUGGUGGAGGCUCGCAGCGGUUCUGACGUGCAAAUCGAUCGUCAAAUUUGGGUAUAGGGGCGAAAGACUAAUCGAACCAUCUAGUAGCUGGUUCCUGCG
Molecule: ribosomal RNA, 892 nt
Filed under: Pseudocercospora macadamiae
Lineage: Eukaryota; Fungi; Ascomycota; Dothideomycetes; Mycosphaerellales; Mycosphaerellaceae
Also listed under: 1 other name
Description: LSU rRNA
Rfam family: Eukaryotic large subunit ribosomal RNA
Source: RNAcentral